ACGGAGGAUGCGAGCGUUAUCCGGAUUUAUUGGGUUUAAAGGGUGCGUAGGCGGAUUAAUAAGUCAGUGGUGAAAACCUGCAGCUUAACUGUGGAACUGCCGUUGAUACUGUUAGUCUUGAGUAUGGUCAAGGUAGGCGGAAUGUGUAAUGUAGCGGUGAAAUGCUUAGAUAUGACACAGAUCACCGAUUGCGUAGGCAGGUUACUGGGCCUUUACUGACGCUGAUGCACGUAAGCGUGUCGAUCGAACAG
RNAcentral lists this ribosomal RNA (251 nucleotides) under uncultured prokaryote. RNAcentral describes it as "partial 16S rRNA". It matches the Rfam family "Bacterial small subunit ribosomal RNA", at positions 525 to 775 of the family's 1533-position model. The record is from RNAcentral.